Non-coding RNA from Pan troglodytes (chimpanzee), 147 nucleotides. It matches the Rfam family "Metazoan signal recognition particle RNA". Rfam says of the family: The signal recognition particle (SRP) is a universally conserved ribonucleoprotein. The record is from Rfam. NCBI's taxonomy places the organism in Eukaryota, Metazoa, Chordata, Mammalia, Primates, Hominidae.
GCUGGGCGUGGUGGCACGCGCCUGUAGUCCCAGCUAUUGGGAGGCUGAGGCAGGAGAAUCACUCGAACUCAGGAGGCGGAGGUUGCAGUGAGCCAAGACUGUGCCACUGCACUCCAGCCUGGGUGACAGAGUGAGACUCUGUCUCAA